UUCCUUUCAUAAAUUUUUAUUCGCUUUAUUGGAAAAUUUUAUUGCAUUUGGUGUUAUGGGUUUUUGAUGUGGAACAAUUUGAGACAGAGUUUUAGAGGAACUAGGUUAUUUUUCUUGGAGGGGGUAAAGAUUAUAAUAAGUGUUUGUUUGAAGUUCCAAAUGAGGUUCAACCUUAAUUUGAUGAAAUUAUUGACCUUGUACCUGAGAACUUUGGAUGACCUUCCAACCCAUGAAGGAAAUCAAUCAUUUAUAGAUGAUAUUCUUGGCUUGAGUCUACCUUAUUUACAGUAUUAAUGCUCGAGUAUAUUGGAGCAUGCUGAGUUGAAAAAGUAGGUUUCAUGACUUGUUAAGAAGAGAGAGCACAAAUAUUUGUGCAUUUCCUGCUCUUCCUACCCCGAAUAAGGAUGGGACUUGGAGAGAUCUUAUGACUUAUAAGUGAUAUUUGCCAGCUCUGGUUCUCAAGGGAAGAGUGAAAGAUAGGUUUCAAAGACCAGAGAGGGUUUUUAUGAGUUGCUCUUCAUGCCAUUGGUUUGUCUAAAGCUCACGAGGGUCCUUGUGCAAUUCUUGCUUUUCUCACCCUGAAAAAGGAUGACCCUUCAAGGAUGUGCAUCGACAUUCACUUUAUCAACAAAAAUACUACAAAGUAUAGGUUAUUCAUGUUUUGGCUUGACGAAAUGCUUGGCAUGUUGAGUGGUGCAAAAAUAUUCUGCAAGGUUAAUCUAAGAUUGGAUAUCAAGGGACUAGAGCUACACGAUCAUGGGUGUGAGAGUUUGUAAUUGGGUUGUUCUUGUAUAUGAUCGGCAUCGCGAUUGUGGUGUUGGUGGUCUCUGCCGGCAGUUCCUCGUUCGUCGCCAUCAACAGCUGAUUGUUCACCGUCGUCAGAUCUGCAGCCUCGUUAGUCGUCGUCAGAUCUGAAGCUUGUUCAUCGCCAUCUCUGCCUUGUUCGUCGUCGCCGGCAGCUCCUCUUUGAUUGUCAGCAAGCUCGCCGACAUCUGCCGUCUCGAUUUGCAGAUUUGCAGAGGUGAGGUUCGUCUUUUUUGGCCGGAAGUUACAGCGGUUGCUGCUUAUUGAUUCGGCCGUUGCUUGUGAUUGAGUUGCUGUCGCCUCCGCUACGUUGUUCACCGGCGUUUGUGAAGGUGUGAAGAAGAAGACCCGUGUUUGGCUACACGGUUAUGCUAUUCCAACCCUGGGAUAGCUAUUCCAAACCUGGUUUACUAAACCUGGGAUAGCCCAGAUCCGGCCCGUUUGCCUAGAACCGGACCGUUUACCCAGAUCCGGCCCGUUUGACCAAGUUCUGCUAGAAUACAGAUUCUGCAAAAAAAAAUUUCUUCUCUGUUUUGCUGGAUUCAACAUGGCGUCCAGUCCGACUUGCUUUCUCCCGCGUCCAGUCUUCAUUCUCCCAUGACUUCAGUUAAACUCAAUGGGAAGAAUUACAUACUGUGGGCUAUAUCGGUUGCAAUUUUUCUCAAAGGCAGAGGUCUUGGUACUCAUCUGACUAAAGAUAAAAUCAAGGAAACUGAUGCUUCUUUUGCUGCAUGGGAAAAGGGAUCAUCUCUGUGAUGAUAAAUAGUAUUGAACCCCAAAUCAGUUCAACCUUACUUUAUUUGGAUACUGCCAAGGAGAUAUGGGACAGAUUGCAGCAAUUGUAUUCUGGGACAGGUAAUAUCACUCGUGUUUAUGAGCUCUGUAAGCAGUACUUCAAUCUUGAACAAGGUAAUUACAGUAUAGAAGAGUAUUAUUCCAAAGUUGUGGGAGUCUGGGAGGAGCUGAAUUUGUAUCAACCCAUUACUGUUGAUGUUCGAAGUAUGCAACAACAGCGUGGGGACUUUAAUGUUGUCCGUUUUCUUACUGGUUUGUCAUCAGCAUAUGAGUCUCUUCGUGCACAGAUUAUGGGCAGUCCCACACUUCCAUCUUUUGCUGAGGUGUUUUCUCGACUUCAGCGUGCUACACUUGCAAGUGACACCUCCAAUUUGAAUACUGGACAGAGUGGUGAGCGUUCAGCAUUGGUAGUUUCAAAGGGUGAACAUAAUGCUUAUCGUGGAGGUCGUGGGGGACGUUCCACACGUGGUGGUCGUGAUUCACGGGGAGGACGUGGCUGUGGCAGGGAAUCAAGAAAAUGUCCUCAUUGUGGUCUUUCUAAUCAUACUAUGAACUUUUGUUGAGACCUUCAUGGCAAACCAUCUAGUUAUGCAAAUCAAGUUUCCUCCUCUCCUCUGGAUCUCACAACGUAGCUGAAUCAGACACGGUCCCUGUUCCACGGGAUGAGUAUACUCAGUUUUUGUCUUAUAACCAAGCAUCUAAUUCAUCUUCCACGGCUACAUUUGCCUAGUCAGGUACUGCACACACGUGCCUAUUGUCUUCCACUCGCAGUCCUUGGAUCAUAGACACUGGAGCAUCUGAUCAUAUGACUGAAUGUUCUUCUCUUCUAUCUGAUUUUAAUUCUGUACCCCUUUCUCAAAGUGUUACUCUUGCUAAUGGUUCAUCCACUAAGGUUUCAGGAUCUCAAGACGAAGAAGAAGAUUGGUACGAGGCAUGAAGUUGGUGGCUUAUAUUAUUUUGAUUUGGAACCUUAUCCUGUGGCUCUUCAGUCUUCUCUGUCUCCAUUCCAGUGGCACUAUCGUCUUGGUCACCCGUCACUUCAAGUUUUGCAGCGUCAAGUUCCUAGUCUUAGUCAUUUAAAAUUCUUGUCAUGUGAAGUUUGUCAACUUAGUAAGCACCAUCGCGUGUCUUUCAAGUCUAGGGUUAAUAAUCGUGUCUCUAGUCCUUUUCAUUUGGUUCAUUCAGAUGUAUGGAGUCCAAUAAAGCAUUCUUCAAUAAAUAAAUUUCAUUAUUUUGUGACA
Molecule: RNA transcript, 2840 nt
Organism: Cornus florida
Lineage: Eukaryota; Viridiplantae; Streptophyta; Magnoliopsida; Cornales; Cornaceae
Exons: 3
Source: RefSeq, a predicted model, not a curated record